Molecule: unclassified non-coding RNA, 390 nt
Filed under: fungal sp.
Lineage: Eukaryota; Fungi
Description: partial internal transcribed spacer region
Rfam family: Eukaryotic small subunit ribosomal RNA (bases 1-46)
Source: RNAcentral
AAGUCGUAACAAGGUUUCCGUAGGUGAACCUGCGGAAGGAUCAUUAACACGUUAUCCACGUAUCAACCAACGAGAACCGUUUUCACUCUCUCUCCUCCGGGAAUGAACUGAGCCGGCUUAGAGUUAUUGGAUGGGAUGCUUGCGUCAGACUCUACUCGCCACUGAUUUGUCGCAGAAAUGCGUCAUGUCGACAGUUGUAUCUUUAGGAGGUCUAACCUCUCUGUCCGUGAUCCUUCCAUUGAAGCUGACAGAGGGAACCCUAUUUUACCAUUUUCACCCCUUUUUGCUAGUUGACUUUUAUAUGUUGUAACUCUGCUUCGGCAGUUUUGCACACGUUUAAUUAUUUGAACGUUAAAAAUACAACUCUUAGCAAUGGAUAUCUAGGUUCUC